CCGAAGUCAUUACCUCAACCGCAAGGAGGGGGAUGCCUAAGGCAGGGCUAGUGACUGGGGUGAAGUCGUAACAAGGUAGCCGUACCGGAAGGUGUGGCUGGAUCACCUCCUUAAAGGGAGACCUAAUUCCAGUAGGAGACGAAAAAAAAGUAGUCCCUACCAAGAAUCAAUCCCAAAAGGUCGGAGCGAGGCAAAAUUGGCUUUCAAACUAGGUUCUGGGUUCACACAAGACCUGAAUCAGGAACAAGGGCUAUUAGCUCAGGUGGUUAGAGCGCACCCCUGAUAAGGGUGAGGUCCCUGGUUCGAGUCCAGGAUGGCCCACCUGCACAGGUGGAAGAAAGAAAAGAAGCUCCGAAUCAGCACCUUAUCUUACUUAUAUAGUAAGAGAGAAAUGCUGGCUUCUGAGUACAGAGUCCAGAGGAACCUUGAAAACUGCAUAGAGCUAGGUGAAAAAGCCAAAAAAGAAGACCGCAAGGUC
This 478-nucleotide unclassified non-coding RNA is filed under the name Microcystis aeruginosa LMECYA 008. RNAcentral's name for it is "partial contains 16S ribosomal RNA, 16S-23S ribosomal RNA intergenic spacer, and 23S ribosomal RNA". The stretch from base 1 to 113 matches the Rfam family "Bacterial small subunit ribosomal RNA", at positions 1421 to 1533 of the family's 1533-position model. Lineage: Bacteria; Bacillati; Cyanobacteriota; Cyanophyceae; Chroococcales; Microcystaceae. The record is from RNAcentral.